UGUAGAUGUUGCUCAGUGGGAAAGCACUUACCUAGAAUUUGCAAGGCCCUGGAUUCAAUCCCCAGCAUCAUAA
This 73-nucleotide transfer RNA is filed under the name Marmota monax (woodchuck). RNAcentral describes it as "tRNA.Ser". Lineage: Eukaryota; Metazoa; Chordata; Mammalia; Rodentia; Sciuridae. The record is from RNAcentral.